Molecule: ribosomal RNA, 326 nt
Filed under: uncultured eukaryote
Lineage: Eukaryota
Description: partial 18S ribosomal RNA
Rfam family: Eukaryotic small subunit ribosomal RNA
Source: RNAcentral
CCCUUAGAUGUUCUGGGCCGCACGCGCGCUACAUUGAUACGAUCAGCGAGUUGCGACCUGGGCCGAGAGGCCUGGGUAAUCUUGUGAAAUCGUAUCGUGUUGGGGCUUGACGAUUGCAAUUUUUCGUCACAAACGAGGAAUUCCUAGUAAGCGCAAGUCAUCAGCUCGCAUUGAUUACGUCCCUGCCCUUUGUACACACCGCCCGUCGCUCCUACCGAUUGAAUGUUCCGGUGAACACUCCGGAGUCAUGGCUUUGUGCUCUAUGGGCCUUGCUAAUGGUGAAGUUGUGUGAACCUUAACAUUUAGAGGAAGGAGAAGUCGUAACA